RNAcentral lists this ribosomal RNA (410 nucleotides) under bacterium Ellin621. Its description in RNAcentral is "bacterial SSU rRNA". It matches the Rfam family "Bacterial small subunit ribosomal RNA", at positions 32 to 452 of the family's 1533-position model. The record is from RNAcentral. Lineage: Bacteria; Pseudomonadati; Acidobacteriota; Terriglobia; Terriglobales; Acidobacteriaceae.
AAUCAACGCUGGCGGCGUGCCUAACACAUGCAAGUCGAACGAGAAAGGGUAGCAAUACCUGAGUAAAGUGGCGCACGGGUGAGUAACACGUGACUAACCUACCCUGGAGUGGGGGAUAACUGAGGGAAACCUUAGCUAAUACCGCAUAAUACCUACGGGUCAAAGGAGCAAUUCGCUUCAGGAGGGGGUCGCGUCCGAUUAGUUAGUUGGCGGGGUAAUGGCCCACCAAGACAGUGAUCGGUAUCCGGCCUGAGAGGGCGCACGGACACACUGGAACUGAAACACGGUCCAGACUCCUACGGGAGGCAGCAGUGGGGAAUUUUGCGCAAUGGGGGAAACCCUGACGCAGCAACGCCGCGUGGAGGAUGAAGUCCUUCGGGGAAUAAACUCCUUUCGAUCGGGACGAUAAU